Molecule: ribosomal RNA, 429 nt
Filed under: uncultured bacterium
Lineage: Bacteria
Description: bacterial SSU rRNA
Rfam family: Bacterial small subunit ribosomal RNA
Source: RNAcentral
UGGGGAAUAUUGCACAAUGGGCGAAAGCCUGAUGCAGCCAUGCCGCGUGUGUGAAGAAGGCUCUAGGGUUGUAAAGCACUUUCAGUAGGGAGGAAAUGUUAACGAUUAAUACUCGUUAGCUUUGACGUUACCUACAGAAGAAGCACCGGCAAACUCCGUGCCAGCAGCCGCGGUAAUACGGAGGGUGCGAGCGUUAAUCGGAAUUACUGGGCGUAAAGCGCGCGUAGGUGGUUUGAUAAGCUAGCUGUGAAAGCCCCGGGCUCAACCUGGGAACUGCAGUUAGAACUGUCUGACUAGAGUACAGUAGAGGGUGGCGGAAUUUCCUGUGUAGCGGUGAAAUGCGUAGAUAUAGGAAGGAACAUCAGUGGCGAAGGCGGCCACCUGGACUGAUACUGACACUGAGGUGCGAAAGCGUGGGGAGCAAACAGG